GCAAAACCGAUGAGAAAGAGUAGUAAGCUUAUUCAUGAAGGAACAGAGAGCUGCGGUGGUGAAAUGCAGUACGAAUUGAUUUGCUGAAUGGACUUUUGAGGGCAGUCCGAACAUGGAAAAUAAGUAGGCACUGUCGGGGAACCGAAACCCGUUAUCAGUAAGGAGUGUAUGAUAGUACAUGCGUAAAGUGGACAUGAAAAAUGUUAAUUUGAGUGGUACCGCGAUAAUAAGAAUUUAUUACCGUCUCAAGC
RNAcentral lists this non-coding RNA (251 nucleotides) under Bacillota bacterium. RNAcentral's name for it is "Firmicutes bacterium T-box sequence". It matches the Rfam family "T-box leader". From Rfam's summary of the family: Uncharged tRNA acts as the effector for transcription antitermination of genes in the T-box leader family. The record is from RNAcentral. Lineage: Bacteria; Bacillati; Bacillota.